This 501-nucleotide ribosomal RNA is filed under the name uncultured bacterium. RNAcentral describes it as "partial 16S ribosomal RNA". It matches the Rfam family "Bacterial small subunit ribosomal RNA", at positions 30 to 523 of the family's 1533-position model. The record is from RNAcentral.
AUUGAACGCUGGCGGCAGGCUUAACACAUGCAAGUCGAGCGGAGAUGAGGUGCUUGCACCUUAUCUUAGCGGCGGACGGGUGAGUAAUGCUUAGGAAUCUGCCUAUUAGUGGGGGACAACAUUCCGAAAGGAAUGCUAAUACCGCAUACGUCCUACGGGAGAAAGCAGGGGAUCUUCGGACCUUGCGCUAAUAGAUGAGCCUAAGUCGGAUUAGCUAGUUGGUGGGGUAAAGGCCUACCAAGGCGACGAUCUGUAGCGGGUCUGAGAGGAUGAUCCGCCACACUGGGACUGAGACACGGCCCAGACUCCUACGGGAGGCAGCAGAGGGGAAUAUUGGACAAUGGGGGGAACCCUGAUCCAGCCAUGCCGCGUGUGUGAAGAAGGCCUUAUGGUUGUAAAGCACUUUAAGCGAGGAGGAGGCUACUGAGACUAAUACUCUUGGAUAGUGGACGUUACUCGCAGAAUAAGCACCGGCUAACUCUGUGCCAGCAGCCACGGUAA